Molecule: ribosomal RNA, 439 nt
Filed under: uncultured soil bacterium
Lineage: Bacteria
Description: bacterial SSU rRNA
Rfam family: Bacterial small subunit ribosomal RNA
Source: RNAcentral
AGAUUGAACGCUGGCGGCAUGCCUAACACAUGCAAGUCGAACGGGAGUAGCAAUACUCUAGUGGCGGACGGGUGAGGAAUACGUAGGAAUUUGCCCUUAAGUGGGGGAUAACCCGGGGAAACCCGGAUUAAUACCGCAUGACCUCGAAAGAGCAAAGUGGGGGAUCGCAAGACCUCACGCUUUUGGAGAAGCCUACGUCGGAUUAGCUAGUUGGUGAGGUAAUGGCUCACCAAGGCGACGAUCCGUAACUGGUCUGAGAGGAUGAUCAGUCACACCGGAACUGAGACACGGUCCGGACUCCUACGGGAGCAGCAGUGGGGAAUAGUGGACAAGUGGGCGACAAGCCUGAUCCAGCAAUGCCGCGUGUGUAGAAGAGGCCGUUGGUUGUAAGGUACACGUUUAACGGUUAGGUAAAGAAAAACGUACGACUACUAACAAC